This is a long non-coding RNA of Spodoptera litura, 736 nucleotides long. RefSeq lists it as uncharacterized. Lineage: Eukaryota; Metazoa; Arthropoda; Insecta; Lepidoptera; Noctuidae. The record is from RefSeq and is a predicted model, not a curated record.
ACGUGUGGCGUGCAAGACGUGUCGGUCCCUGAGCCUCGCUCGGAGCCGGAGUCCUGCGUGUCCCAUCUUCUUUGGCUUUAACAUCUUGGUGGCUGAUGCUGCGCAGCGUCUCCUGUCGUCUCUGACGUUGGUGGAGCAGCUCGUGGCCGCAGCAGCACUUCGCCCUCACUGAGGAAUGAGGUGUCCUGCGGACGAGCUGCGUCACCAGUUCGCUGGAGGCAUUCGGAGGUGCGGUCCUGGCACCAACCCUCUAACACCAGCGCACUGGCCCUUCAACCUCCUCAUCAGAAAUGUAGCAAUAUUGUCUUCUAGAGUAUUGUUACAUUUCUGGAUGGACCCUAUUCCAGAUAGAUGACAAUGGAUGGCGCGGGUUUAACAACAUCGAGUUAAGAGGCUGAUGGACCGUGUUUCGCUGAACAUGUUCCUACAGAUCUCCCCUCGCUCUUCUUGAACUCGCGCCUCAUGGCAUUCAUGGAGCCGGAGUGGAGUAGAGAAGUUCGUCGAAGAAGGGUACUUGAGGUAGUGGUCUUUUUAUAUCUCUGGUAUUCUUCAACGUCCUGUCAGGUCAAUCGAUCAACUCUCCUCUCCACUCCUUUUAAUUAAUCGUGGUAUACAAUGUUAAUAACUAAAAACCGACUUAUAUUUAUUAUAAUUACAUUAAUGAGGAAUACAAUUCGUAGGUUCGAUCAGAUUCACAUUUAUAAAUAGAUAUGGUCUUAGUAUAAUAAUUAAUUAU